UAGGGAAUCUUCGGCAAUGGGGGCAACCCUGACCGAGCAACGCCGCGUGAGUGAAGAAGGUUUUCGGAUCGUAAAGCUCUGUUGUAAGAGAAGAACGUGUGUGAGAGUGGAAAGUUCACACAGUGACGGUAACUUACCAGAAAGGGACGGCUAACUACGUGCCAGCAGCCGCGGUAAUACGUAGUUCCCGAGCGUUGUCCGGAUUUAUUGGGCGUAAAGCGAGCGCAGGCGGUUUAAUAAGUCUGAAGUUAAAGGCAGUGGCUUAACCAUUGUUCGCUUUGGAAACUGUUAAACUUGAGUGCAGAAGGGGAGAGUGGAAUUCCAUGUGUAGCGGUGAAAUGCGUAGAUAUAUGGAGGAACACCGGUGGCGAAAGCGGCUCUCUGGUCUGUAACUGACGCUGAGGCUCGAAAGCGUGGGGAGCAAACAGG
RNAcentral lists this ribosomal RNA (429 nucleotides) under bacterium. RNAcentral describes it as "partial 16S ribosomal RNA". It matches the Rfam family "Bacterial small subunit ribosomal RNA", at positions 355 to 776 of the family's 1533-position model. The record is from RNAcentral.